Amphiprion ocellaris (clown anemonefish) is the source of this 1963-nucleotide long non-coding RNA. Lineage: Eukaryota; Metazoa; Chordata; Actinopteri; Pomacentridae. The record is from Ensembl.
AUGACCUGCCUUAUCUGUUUCCACACUUGUUGCUAGAAGGUGAUUUCCACUUUAUGAGCCUUGGAGGCUUAAGUAUUUGGCUAUUCUAUGUGUUACAAAACAACUUGGAUGAGUCACAUAUGGUGUCAUCUAAACAGAUGAUGUCAUGCAUAUUUCACAAUGCCUAGCAGUAUGCAGGUCGAACAGUGUCUAAUUUACUCAUCCUGCCUGCAUCAGUAUGCUGUAAUUGUGAUUUGUAACUGAAGUAAUUGACCUGACCAGAGCUAUGUUUGUAAGCAUUAAUGUGCCUCGUAUGAUACCUGUUUGUCACACCCACAGCUUCCCACUGCCAGACUGGACACAUUAACAUACAGCGCAAUGAGUGGCACACCUGGCGUUGUGUGUGUGCGUCUCCAUCCAUGCGUGAGUGGUGUGUCGGCGGAGCUAUGAAUGGGCAGAGAGGGGUGUUCUCUCACAGACACCAUAGCAGCAGUGAGAUGAGGAGUGCCAUCUACUCCACUGCACGUCUGCUGCACUGAGAGAAGAAGAAAAAGAAGCAAGAAGGGGGAAAAGGAGUAGUUGUUCAACCAGAGGACAAGGUGAUCCCUCCUAAACCUGCAUCAGCACUGAGGAAAAACCUUCAAGUCAGCCAUGGAGCAGAAAGCUAAUGAGUGUCCCACCACCACCUCUCCUCAGAAGCACAUGAAGAAUAGGUCUAAAUCCACAGAGGAGAUGCAGCAGUCGAAGAAGGCCUUUGCUUCACAAAAAUCCCUGCCAGGCCGACCAGAGCUGGACAGAGUGAAGGAGUGUCCUGAUGGCUCUGACACGCCUUCAUCCUCCAGUGAAGAACUAAAGUGAUAAAAAAAACAGCAGGACAAUAAAGCUGCAAUUAAACUAUAAAACCAUAAACAUAAAUGUACAUAUGUACACAGGGAAAUGUGCAGAAAAUUGAGGAUAAUAGCAAGUUAGAAAAUAAAACAAACAAGCCAUGAAUUUAAGAAGAGCUUAAGGAAAAUGUAUAUAAAGCAUCGAUUCACAUUCAGACUCAAAAACACACCGAGACAAUCGCAUGUAAACAAAAGGACACCUGUGAUGAUGCUGUUUCAUUGUGCUGUGAGUGGUGUCUACAUAGCAACUGAAUGUGUAGUGACAAUAAAGUGAUGUUGUGUGUGCUGAAACACCGUAGAACUGUUUGUCAGGUUCCUUUAAAGAGUUCAACUUAAUAAAGCUACAAUUUAAGACUUUUACUGAGGAAGCCAGACCUCUGACAGGUGAAUAAAAUGCCUGAAAAUGACUUCCAAUGAAAUCAUUUGAAUUUCAACAGAGGUUAUUCCAUCACUGCAUCCUUUGGAAGCCCCAGUUUAACAAUAACAUCAGAAUAAAAUGUAGCUUUAUCAUCCACCAGAGGGGCAAAUUCUUAUACUAACACACAAAAGCAGUUUAACUGUUAAAAUAUUUAAUUGUGACACUAACUAUAGAAAAGAAUAAGCAUUUCUGCAAGGUGGCUAGAUCAGAGCUGCUUCAUCACUCAUUGUGCUGUAAGUAUAAAAUAAAAACCAGUGGAGUAACUUGUAAAUGUUUAUUUGCACUUGGUAUACAAUAUUUUUUAUUUGCCAAAGGCGCCGCUCAGAGGUCAUAAUCUCAAACUGAGGAAAUAGAGGAAAUGUCUGUCUGGAUGCUCAUGGAUACACAGGUUUUUCAGCCUUAUCUGGCAUUUCCCAGUUAUGUUGCUGCAGCUGAGGCAUUCAAACAAUGAUGUCAAGUCACGUGUAAAAAUGCAACUAAGAUUUUAGGAUUUAAUUUGAAGUUAUAUGCAUUUCUUUGGAACAUGGUUAAUACUGAAUGGUUCUGCACAUUAAACAAGCUAAAUAUGACAAGGUUUGUUAUGAAAUUCUGCUCUGUACAGUAUUGUCAAUAUUUAUCUCCAAAUUAGUGCUGUAAUUAGCAGAUAUUUUUCACUUGCUAAUCUGAUAAUUUGUUUGGC